This 482-nucleotide ribosomal RNA is filed under the name uncultured Asaccharobacter sp. RNAcentral's name for it is "partial 16S ribosomal RNA". The record is from RNAcentral. Lineage: Bacteria; Bacillati; Actinomycetota; Coriobacteriia; Eggerthellales; Eggerthellaceae.
CACGUAGUUAGCCGGAGCUUCUUCUGCAGGUACCGUCUAUGUCUUCCCUGCUGAAAGCGGUUUACAACCCGAAGGCCUUCGUCCCGCACGCGGCGUUGCUGCGUCAGGGUUUCCCCCAUUGCGCAAAAUUCCCCACUGCUGCCUCCCGUAGGAGUCUGGGCCGUAUCUCAGUCCCAAUGUGGCCGGUCGACCUCUCAGUCCGGCUACCCAUCGCGGGCACGGUGGGCCGUUACCCCGCCGUCUACCUAAUGGGCCGCGACCCCAUCCCGCGCCGUUAAGGCUUUCCCGGGGAGGCCAUGGGGCCUCCCCGGAGCAUCCGGUAUUAGCCGCCGUUUCCAGCGGUUGUCCCGGAGCGCGGGGCAGGUUGGUCACGUGUUACUCACCCGUUCGCCACUCUAUAUCUGGCCGAAGCCAGUUUAAUCGUUCGACUUGCAUGUGUUAAGCACGCCGCCAGCGUUCAUCCUGAGCCAGGAUCAAACUCU